GACGAACGCUGGCGGCGUGCUUAACACAUGCAAGUCGAACGGAAAGGCCCUGCUUUUGUGGGGUGCUCGAGUGGCGAACGGGUGAGUAACACGUGAGUAACCUGCCCUUGACUUUGGGAUAACUUCAGGAAACUGGGGCUAAUACCGGAUAGGAGCUCCUGCUGCAUGGUGGGGGUUGGAAAGUUUCGGCGGUUGGGGACGGACUCGCGGCUUAUCAGCUUGUUGGUGGGGUAGUGGCUUACCAAGGCUUUGACGGGUAGCCGGCCUGAGAGGGUGACCGGCCCCAUUGGGCCUGCGAUACGGCCCGGCCUCCUACGGGAGGCAGCAGUAGGGAAUAUUGCACAAUGGGCGGAAGCCUGAUGCAGCAUCGCCGCGUGCGGGAUGACGGCCUUCGGGUUGUAAACCGCUUUCGCCUGUGACGAAGCGUGAGUGACGGUAAUGGGUAAAGAAGCACCGGCUAACUACGUG
Molecule: ribosomal RNA, 468 nt
Filed under: uncultured bacterium
Lineage: Bacteria
Description: partial 16S ribosomal RNA
Rfam family: Bacterial small subunit ribosomal RNA
Source: RNAcentral